UACGUAGGGUGCAAGCGUUGUCCGGAAUUAUUGGGCGUAAAGAGCUUGUAGGCGGUUUGUCGCGUCUGCUGUGAAAUUUCGGGGCUCAACCCCGAACUUGCAGUGGGUACGGGCAGACUAGAGUGUGGUAGGGGAGACUGGAAUUCCUGGUGUAGCGGUGAAAUGCGCAGAUAUCAGGAGGAACACCGGCGGCGAAGGCGGGACUCUGGGCCGAUACUGACGCUGAGGAGCGAAAGCGUGGGGAGCAAACAGG
This 253-nucleotide ribosomal RNA is filed under the name uncultured bacterium. Its description in RNAcentral is "partial 16S ribosomal RNA". It matches the Rfam family "Bacterial small subunit ribosomal RNA", at positions 524 to 776 of the family's 1533-position model. The record is from RNAcentral.